Molecule: long non-coding RNA, 1440 nt
Organism: Jatropha curcas
Lineage: Eukaryota; Viridiplantae; Streptophyta; Magnoliopsida; Malpighiales; Euphorbiaceae
Source: RefSeq, a predicted model, not a curated record
GAACAAAAUGGUACGGAACCAUUAUUUUUUUGAUACCAUCUUCUCGCUCAAAUGCCGUCACCGCGACAAUGACCGUGGACGGGAGUGAGAUAGAGGUAGAAACCGCUCCUCUCGCAGUGGCAGUGAGUGUUCGUUCUUUUUGCACUGGUCACCUCUCUUAACGACUUGGUCUCUGUAAUCUCAACGCCUGCUCCGCCCACUCUUGCCACGUCGGUGCCAUUAAAGAGUUGGUUCUUCCGAUCUGCAGUGAUCUAAAAGAUUACAGAUUGUUUUGAAGUGUUAUUCAAAUUAAAGAAAAAAGUUAUUCAAUCGUAUGCAUUUCCUUUUCAUGUUUUCUUUUCUUUUUUGUAUUUUUUUUUUUUUUUUGCUAGAACGGAAUGCAUACAUUACAGGGUAUUUCUAUAAUGGUUUCUGUGACAAUUAUGCAGGUAUUAAACCUACGAAAAGUUUGAUACUUUUUUGAGUGGGAGAAUGACAUUUCCUUUCAAACCCAGAUAAUCAAGUUCCCAUUUCUUUUAUUUUAUUUUUCUUUUGCCUUUUCGUUUUCUUUUUAUUUUUUUUAUCCCAAAUAUAUCAUUGUAUUAUUGUUUUGUUGAAGUAUUUGGCAUUGUGAAUGCUGUAUUUGACUAUGGAAUUGGUUUCUCCAAAUUUUAGUUUAUCAAGAAAUUCAAUCUUUUAUUAUGAAUUUCUUUGUUUAUAACUGCUUUCUUCCUCUUCCUCUCUUCUUUUUUCCAUUUCAUAGAUCUAUGCUUUGGGUGCCUUGAUGAUAUACAAAAGAAGGUGAAGAUUAGAGCCUGAAGAGAUUUUCAACGAUGAUGAAGAAGCAAUAACGAUCCAGAGAAAUGGGAGGAUCUGGCUCAUGAGCUUCCUACUCCACUAGAAAUCGAGCAGAUUAUGCUUGGCUUUGCUGGUUUUUUCCCCUGCUAUCAUCUGGUUUAUGAAGUAUAAAGGCAUGAAUUGAGUUUCUUAUGAUGUCUGCUCAUAAUGUCCAGAUGGAUGAUGAGAUUCAUGUGCUGACUCUGAAGUAGAAAGAUGCAUCUUUUAAGGAGGAACCUGCUGACUGUAAGCAUACAAAAUUAAUGCCUUCUGGUUAUGCUAAGAGAAACCAAUCUGCUCCCAUGUCAGCAAAUGGGGAAAAAAAAAACUAACAGUGUGCCUCAAAAGAAGGUCAAGGCAGAAAUGAUAUGUAAUUGCUCUUGAUAAACCUGUAAUUGUCAAAGAAGUGUGCAUCAAUUACUAGAUGCUGUGCUAGAGCCUUUGCCCGUGCUCAGAUGGAGCAAUCUAACUAGGGCAUUUAGAUGUUCCUUUUUUCCAAGUGCAAAGUGCAACAAAGGCAAAUUUGCAUUUGUUGUAAUUCAAACGGUACCAAAUCUUCAAUUUGAACUUUCUUAUUUGUAGCAUAAUUGAUCUAUAUUAUAGUUUCUUUCCUUUAUUUUUCUA